This 924-nucleotide ribosomal RNA is filed under the name uncultured Thermococcales archaeon. Its description in RNAcentral is "bacterial SSU rRNA". It matches the Rfam family "Archaeal small subunit ribosomal RNA", at positions 1 to 922 of the family's 1478-position model. Lineage: Archaea; Methanobacteriati; Methanobacteriota; Thermococci; Thermococcales. The record is from RNAcentral.
UUCCGGUUGAUCCCGCCGGAAGCCACUGCUAUGGGGGUCCGACUAAGCCAUGCGAGUCAUGGGGUCCCUUCGGGGACACCGGCGGACGGCUCAGUAACACGUCGGUAACCUACCCUCGGGAGGGGGAUAACCCCGGGAAACUGGGGCUAAUCCCCCAUAGGCCUGGGGUACUGGAAGGUCCCCAGGCCGAAAGGGGCUCUGCCCGCCCGAGGAUGGGCCGGCGGCCGAUUAGGUAGUUGGUGGGGUAACGGCCCACCAAGCCGAAGAUCGGUACGGGCCAUGAGAGUGGGAGCCCGGAGAUGGACACUGAGACACGGGUCCAGGCCCUACGGGGCGCAGCAGGCGCGAAACCUCCGCAAUGCGGGCAACCGCGACGGGGGGACCCCCAGUGCCGUGGCAUAGCCACGGCUUUUCCGGAGUGUAAAAAGCUCCGGGAAUAAGGGCUGGGCAAGGCCGGUGGCAGCCGCCGCGGUAAUACCGGCGGCCCAAGUGGUGGCCGCUAUUAUUGGGCCUAAAGCGUCCGUAGCCGGGCCCGUAAGUCCCUGGCGAAAUCCCACGGCUCAACCGUGGGGCUUGCUGGGGAUACUGCGGGCCUUGGGACCGGGAGAGGCCGGGGGUACCCCUGGGGUAGGGGUGAAAUCCUAUAAUCCCAGGGGGACCGCCAGUGGCGAAGGCGCCCGGCUGGAACGGGUCCGACGGUGAGGGACGAAGGCCAGGGGAGCGAACCGGAUUAGAUACCCGGGUAGUCCUGGCUGUAAAGGAUGCGGGCUAGGUGUCGGGCGAGCUUCGAGCUCGCCCGGUGCCGAAGGGAAGCCGUUAAGCCCGCCGCCUGGGGAGUACGGCCGCAAGGCUGAAACUUAAAGGAAUUGGCGGGGGAGCACUACAAGGGGUGGAGCGUGCGGUUUAAUUGGAUUCAACGCCGGG